Molecule: ribosomal RNA, 471 nt
Filed under: uncultured bacterium
Lineage: Bacteria
Description: bacterial SSU rRNA
Rfam family: Bacterial small subunit ribosomal RNA
Source: RNAcentral
ACUCCUACGGGAGGCAGCAGUGGGGAAUAUUGCACAAUGGGGAAACCCUGAUGCAGCCAUGCCGCGUGUGUGAAGAAGGCCUUCGGUUGUAAAGCACUUUCAGUAGGGAGGAAGGUAGUGUAGUUAACACCUGCAUUAUUUGACGUUACCUACAGAAGAAGCACCGGCUAACUCCGUGCCAGCAGCCGCGGUAAUACGGAGGGGUGCGAGCGUUAAUCGGAAUUACUGGGCGUAAAGCGCAUGCAGGCGGCCUGUUAAGUCAGAUGUGAAAGCCCGGGGGCUUAACCUCGGAAUUGCAUUUGAAACUGGCAGGCUAGAGUCUUGUAGAGGGGGUAGAAUUUCAGGUGUAGCGGUGAAAUGCGUAGAGAUCUGAAGGAAUACCAGUGGCGAAGGCGGCCCCCUGGACAAAGACUGACGCUCAGAUGCGAAAGCUGGGGAGCAAACAGGAUUAGAUACCCUGGUAGGAUAGCG